CUUCCGUAUUAUACUUGUCUCAAAUUCACUGGAAACUAUGAUUAUGCAAGUGAUGAAUAAACUAUAAAUGGUGGUGACGAAUCUUCAUCAGCAAAUGGUUCUAUGGUCUAGCGGUUAGGACAUUGGACUCUGAAUCCAGUAACCCGAGUUCAAUUCUCGGUAGAACCUAUUUUUCUUUUGUUUUUUUUGUUUCCACUGUUGUAGUACGUGUAUUAGCUGAGUCACAUCCUGUUUGACAACUUUUGCUAAACCGCUUUAUCUUUUUCUUUUUUUGUUUCCACUAGCGGAGGUUGGAAAAAGCGCUAGGCGUAAGCGAGGCAAUUGUCGUUCGCCUAAUGCCUAGGCGAUGCUUAAGCGGCCUAGGCGCAGCCUAGGCGGGCAUCAUUUAUACCAUCAAGUGUGUAUAUGGGUUAUUAUAUGUGAAUAAAAAUUAAUUUAGAGCAUGCAAAUACGAAGCACCGAUACGGCAACACGGAUACGGCGAUACGGAGACGGCGAUACGGGAUACGACGAUUUCAAAAAACAGCGAAACGGCGAUACGGCGAGUAUAUGUAUAAAUGCAAAAAUAUAAUAGACCAUAAAUCAAAAAUCAUAAUGAAGUAAAUACAAAAGAUGGGAUAGAACAUAGAAGUACUGCCCCAUUUUCUGUCUAUGGAAUUGCUUGCACUAGGACCAACUGAAGAUUGACCUCCUGCAGAUGCCAUCUCACUUCCUGGCCAGCCAAGCAAUCGUGUCAAACGGGAGAGCAACAAUCAAGCAGCAAUACGCAGGCCUAGCAUUAGGACUAGCAGAGCAGCAAGCAAGCAGCUGCUACCAAUCUCAGGUACAUAUGGGAGGCAGCAGCCAGCAGUACCUUGGGGAGGCAGCUACCUAUCUUAGCACUAGCCUACCACCAAAAGAAGACUGGCUGCCUACCAUGCCACUGCCUGCGGAUGACAUGUCGUCGGUAUCUCACUCCAGGUAUCGAUAGCACCAAAAAAAGACUGGCUGCCUGCCGUGCUUCUUCACCAUCAGAAAAGUAGCACACCAGAAAGGAGAAAGCAAGCAGAGGUUUUGAAGUAUCAGUGCUUCGUAGAUUCCAGGUAUCGUCGGAGUAUCGUUGGAGUAUCGGCGGAGUAUCGGCAUUCUUUUCUUUCUUUUUUAAUGUGGGAAAAUGGGAUACGCCAGCGAUACGUGUAUCGGAGUAUCGGUGGAGUAUCGGAGUAUCGGAGAAGUACGGUACGCAGCGGCAAGUUUUGAAGUAUCGGUGCUUCGUAAAUGUGUGAAUUUUUAAGAACUACCUUGAAAAUAAUGCCCAUCUAACUCGAUCGUGAAAUAUUGCAUGUUUUCUUAUUGUGGA
Lolium perenne is the source of this 1339-nucleotide non-coding RNA. NCBI's taxonomy places the organism in Eukaryota, Viridiplantae, Streptophyta, Magnoliopsida, Poales, Poaceae. The record is from RefSeq and is a predicted model, not a curated record.